This 460-nucleotide ribosomal RNA is filed under the name uncultured bacterium. Its description in RNAcentral is "partial 16S ribosomal RNA". It matches the Rfam family "Bacterial small subunit ribosomal RNA", at positions 338 to 795 of the family's 1533-position model. The record is from RNAcentral.
CCUACGGGUGGCAGCAGUGAGGAAUAUUGGUCAAUGGGCGCGAGCCUGAACCAGCCAAGUAGCGUGAAGGAUGACUGCCCUACGGGUUGUAAACUUCUUUUGCCGGGGAGCAGUGGUCCGGACGCGUCCGGACAGGGAGAGUCACCGGAGAAAAAGCAUCGGCUAACUCCGUGCCAGCAGCCGCGGUAAUACGGGGGAUGCGAGCGGUAUCCGGAUUUAUUGGGUUUAAGGGGGGCGUAGGCGGUCAUUUAAGCCGGCGGUCAACUGUCGGGGCGCAACCCCGGCCUGCCGUCGGAACUGGGUGCCUUGAGUGGGCGAGAAGUAUGCGGAAUGCGGGGUGUAGCGGGGAAAGGCAUAGAGAUCACGCAGAACCCCGAUUGCGAAGGCAGCAUACCGGCGCCCGACUGACGCUGAGGCACGAAAGUGCGGGUAUCGAACAGGAUUAGAUACCCCAGUAGUC